CCUACGGGAGGCAGCAGUGGGGAAUUUUGGACAAUGGGGGAAACCCUGAUCCAGCCAUGCCGCGUGAGUGAAGAAGGCCUUCGGGUUGUAAAGCUCUUUCAGCCGGAACGAAACGGUCACGGUUAAUACCCGUGACAACUGACGGUACCGGA
RNAcentral lists this ribosomal RNA (152 nucleotides) under uncultured bacterium. RNAcentral's name for it is "partial 16S ribosomal RNA". It matches the Rfam family "Bacterial small subunit ribosomal RNA", at positions 338 to 482 of the family's 1533-position model. The record is from RNAcentral.